This is a non-coding RNA of Paramuricea clavata, 429 nucleotides long. The record is from the annotation of a GenBank genome assembly. Lineage: Eukaryota; Metazoa; Cnidaria; Anthozoa; Malacalcyonacea; Plexauridae.
AUAAUAGGUACUGUCGGCCUUUUACAUACCUUUCAUUUAUUAUGAUGGGAUAUAAAGUGAUGCGCAUGGUAAACGACUCAAAUAUUUUGUGUAUACAUCGCUAUCCCUCUGUGUAACCCGCACUGGAAGAAAGCCUGGUUCCUAAGCUUCUUGUUGAUAUCAAACAUGGACGACAAUUCAUUAAACAUCGUUCUUCUUGCAAUGUUUUACGGUCUAUGGACAGGGUAUUUAUGGGUAAAAUAUCAACAUUUUGUCCCGUAAAUUGGAACAAGUUAAAAAAUUCGUAUCACUAUGAAAUUAUGUAGACAAGCAGGGGACAACAUAUAUUUUACGACGCGAAGUCUGCAAAUUUCACGAAGGGUUCGAGGGAUACAUGCGGCCAGAGCAAAAUGUACGUUUUCAACGAUUUUCUCAAGUUUUAUUAUACUU